Molecule: transfer RNA, 71 nt
Filed under: Cordylochernes scorpioides
Lineage: Eukaryota; Metazoa; Arthropoda; Arachnida; Pseudoscorpiones; Chernetidae
Description: tRNA-Thr
Source: RNAcentral
AUCCAGGGAUGGGAAUCGAAACCAGUGUUCCGCUUACCGGGCAGAUGCCAUGUCCACUAGGCUACCCUAGA